GAUGAACGCUAGCUACAGGCUUAACACAUGCAAGUCGAGGGGAAACGAUAUUGGAAGCUUGCUUCCGAUAGGCGUCGACCGGCGCACGGGUGAGUAACGCGUAUCCAACCUGCCCACCACUUGGGGAUAACCUUGCGAAAGUAAGACUAAUACCCAAUGAUAUCCCACGAAGGCAUCCGAAUGGGAUUAAAGAUUUAUCGGUGAUGGAUGGGGAUGCGUCUGAUUAGCUUGUUGGCGGGGUAACGGCCCACCAAGGCAACGAUCAGUAGGGGUUCUGAGAGGAAGGUCCCCCACAUUGGAACUGAGACACGGUCCAAACUCCUACGGGAGGCAGCAGUGAGGAAUAUUGGUCAAUGGGCGAGAGCCUGAACCAGCCAAGUAGCGUGUGGGACGAAUGCCCUAUGGGUUGUAAACCACUUUUGCAGGAGGGUAAAAUGCUUCACGUGUGGAGUAUUGCAAGUAUCCUGCGAAUAAGGACCGGCUAAUUCCGUG
RNAcentral lists this ribosomal RNA (492 nucleotides) under uncultured bacterium. RNAcentral describes it as "bacterial SSU rRNA". It matches the Rfam family "Bacterial small subunit ribosomal RNA", at positions 28 to 507 of the family's 1533-position model. The record is from RNAcentral.